Molecule: ribosomal RNA, 253 nt
Filed under: uncultured bacterium
Lineage: Bacteria
Description: partial 16S ribosomal RNA
Rfam family: Bacterial small subunit ribosomal RNA
Source: RNAcentral
UACGUAGGGGGCAAGCGUUGUCCGGAAUCAUUGGGCGUAAAGAGCGUGUAGGCGGCUUGGUAAGUCCGCUGUGAAAGUCCAGGGCUCAACCCUGGAAAGCCGGUGGAAACUGUCAAGCUUGAGUCCGGAAGAGGCGAGUGGAAUUCCUGGUGUAGCGGUGAAAUGCGCAGAUAUCAGGAGGAAUACCAAUGGCGAAGGCAGCUCGCUGGGACGGUACUGACGCUGAGACGCGAAAGCGUGGGGAGCAAACAGG